AAAGUGUCAUCACUGAGAUCAUCAAUAUCUAUCUCAAUUUCGUCCUCUCCAGCACCCCUUCCAUUUGAACCAUGCUCCCUCAAAAAAUCAAUGAUAUUUACAGGCAUUUCUCCCAACAAAUCCUCUAACUCUCUUCCUAAUUUCUGCUUCUCAUCAUCUGUCAUUAUGCGCCUAGCAGGCUCUGGCACAAUUUCAUGUUGAUAUGAAGUUACUUUCCUCUUUUUAAUGGGACAUGUUUCAGUACUUUGCAGGUCUUCAUGAGGGCCUGAAUUUGCCUGCACAGCUUGAGCAUCAGUCUUGGGUAAUUUCUUUUCAAUAGUUUUCCAUCUCACUUCAAAAAAUUUACUAAGCGUAUCAGCCAUGAUGUGUAC
Molecule: unclassified non-coding RNA, 371 nt
Filed under: Hevea brasiliensis (rubber tree)
Lineage: Eukaryota; Viridiplantae; Streptophyta; Magnoliopsida; Malpighiales; Euphorbiaceae
Source: RNAcentral